This 72-nucleotide transfer RNA is filed under the name Minisyncoccota bacterium. RNAcentral's name for it is "tRNA-Arg". It matches the Rfam family "tRNA". From Rfam's summary of the family: Transfer RNA (tRNA) molecules are approximately 80 nucleotides in length. Their secondary structure includes four short double-helical elements and three loops (D, anti-codon, and T loops). Lineage: Bacteria; Bacillati; Minisyncoccota. The record is from RNAcentral.
GCGCUCGUGGUGAAAUGGAUAUCACAGCUGGCUUCGGACCAGCCGUUCUGGGUUCGAGUCCUGGCGGGCGCG